AGUAGUUUGACUCUGGCUCAGGACGACGCUGGCGGCGUGCUUAACACAUGCAAGUCGAACGGAAAGGCCCUUUCGGGGGUACUCGAGUGGCGAACGGGUGAGUAACACGUGGGUGAUCUGCCCUGCACUUCGGGAUAAGCUUGGGAAACUGGGUCUAAUACCGGAUAGGACUACGCACUGCAUGGUGUGUGGUGGAAAGCUUUUGCGGUGUGGGAUGGGCCCGCGGCCUAUCAGCUUGUUGGUGGGGUGAUGGCCUACCAAGGCGACGACGGGUAGCCGGCCUGAGAGGGUGUCCGGCCACACUGGGACUGAGAUACGGCCCAGACUCCUACGGGAGGCAGCAGUGGGGAAUAUUGCACAAUGGGCGCAAGCCUGAUGCAGCAACGCCGCGUGGGGGAUGACGGCCUUCGGGUUGUAAACCUCUUUCACCAUCGGCGAAGCCUCAUGCUUUUGUGUGGGGUGACGGUAGGUGGAGAAGAAGCACCGGCCAACUACGUG
Molecule: ribosomal RNA, 498 nt
Filed under: uncultured Mycobacterium sp.
Lineage: Bacteria; Bacillati; Actinomycetota; Actinomycetes; Mycobacteriales; Mycobacteriaceae
Description: bacterial SSU rRNA
Rfam family: Bacterial small subunit ribosomal RNA
Source: RNAcentral